UGUGCAUAAGGACCGAUGGCUUACUUUUUACUCUGUUGUUGUGAGAACAAAAUGGGAAUCCCAACCUCUCAUCAACAAUCGGAUUUCACUUUUUUUCUCUUAACAACAGAGGAAAAUGUAUGCUUUUGAACAACACGAUCGGGAUCCUCACGUACA
This 156-nucleotide microRNA precursor is filed under the name Amborella trichopoda. RNAcentral's name for it is "miR8586 stem-loop (atr-MIR8586)". Lineage: Eukaryota; Viridiplantae; Streptophyta; Magnoliopsida; Amborellales; Amborellaceae. The record is from miRBase by way of RNAcentral.